GUAAAUCUUGGGUACUUAUACAGGAUCAAGGAACCGAAACAAUACCUUCCAGCUAGCCAUUUUGGGUGAGGUGCUGGGUUGUUACAAUUUGUUCCGCAAAAGUAGCAACAUGGGUCUUAAAUUUUUCCAUUGCAAGGCCACUUAGAAACGGUUACCGUGAUUUUUCCUUCCCUUGUAUGACCUGAACAGGGAAAAUUUGCUUGAGUACAUUGACCUGAACAAAAAUUCUUUUUGGCAUUCGAUGUAUGGUGAAAUUGUUUACAGGAUACAAGGUGUCCUAAUAUGGUUUAUGGUCCUAAGCAAAAGCUCUCUGUCUAACAAAAUUAUGAUACAACUUGUGAGGUUAAACCAUCUCAGCUCUGAAUGGCAAGCCAGAAUGGUCAGUAAAUGAUCUAGAAUUUAGAUGAGAAGUGGGAAAGCAGCUUAUUAACAGCUUCUGAAAGAAAUUUACACUUUUGUACUGGCCAGGAAUUGCAUGAACCAUCCAAAUAAAUUUUGCAUAUUCUAGAUAGCAGAAUUCAGUGCUUGAUUGCUUGCAAAUGCAGACUUGCUACUUUUAGAUAAAAACUGAUUUGUCAUGGUGAAGAGCAUAUUGAUGAAUAAUCUUCUAUGACUGCUGUUCUUCAAUUUAUAUCUAUGCCUUCGCUCCUGGUUCUUCAGUAUAAUGGCAUCGUGUUAUGGUUCCUUAAUUACUUCUCUCAUUUGUGCAUGACUUUGUAUUUUUUUACUUUGCCUCAAUUGUCAAGUAUGGUUAUUUUUUGCUGCAACUUUAUGCAUGAUUGUGUUCUAAUCAAGUAUACUCCACCAUAACUCUCCAAUCUCACCUACUGUCAUUCCAGUGUGUAUUCUAUACAACUGGGCCCCUUAUAAUCUCUGAAUUGCAGGAUCUAAAUUUUUAGAGGUAUCUUUUUGUUCAAAAGGAUGAUCAUGUUUUUUUGUUAUUCAUUUCUUUUUCCAUUAGAUGGUAGAUUAUAUGAAUAUUAUCAUGCAUGAAACUGAGAAUGACGAUGUGGUUGAGGUUUUGCUGUAUGGAAAAAAGAGAACGAAGAAUUGUUCUUCUCACUAAUGGAAGAUAUUAGAUCUUAAAGGGAAAAGACCAACAACAUUUUUUUCGAAAUCUGCAUAUUUGAGAAACUUUGAAUGCACAAAGUAAAAAAAAACUAUACGGAUGUACAACUUAGAAACAAGUUCAACUAAUUGAGGACUUGGAAAUGAGAUUUCGCUAAGUUGAUAAAAGAGACGGGAAUUGGUUACCACUCAUUAACAGGGGAGGUGAUUGCAACUGAAGAAGUUUGGCGAAGGUUAUACAAGAUAAAUUGAAAACUAGUCAACAAAUCUGCAAGAAAAUUUCGAAAGAAGGAUGCCCUAUGUUCGAAAAAUUGAGCAUGAUAUUUGGGACACUACAGCUUGUGGGCACUUGUUGCAUCCUUCAACUAACAGUCCUUCAGACAUUGAAAAUUGGAAGAAGUAGGAGAGCACGAAUUAGAGGUUCAGUUUGUUGAUCAUGAUCCUCCAGUCAGAGGUCGCCGAAGUCAGUCUGCCACCCCAUCAAGAUCCAACCGAGAAAAAGAUCCAGCUUUGGUUAAUGCACUGAAGACCUUUAAUCGGCAAAGGGGAUUAAGAAACAUGCUUAUGGAGAAAAAAAUUGACAAGCUCAUCUACUGGAUUUGGUUCUUCAGCUACAUCUAACUCAUCUCAUACAAAUCUUGUAAAAGAAAGUAUGCAAGCUUUGAAUGCUCUCCCAGGAGUAGAUGGAACGACUUAUGCAAAGGUAGUGGAGAAGUUUUGUGUGGACCAUGUUAUGAUGGAAAAGUUCAUGGAUUAAAGGAAAAUGGAUUGGCUUAAAAGCCUUUAGUGAUGAUAUGAGACGUGACAAUUUGUUAGGAUUUGGCUAUGUUUUCAUCAUGAGAUCCUGGACUUCAUGUCUUUGGACUUGUCUUAUGUGUUUUUGGAUGUCAUAUGUUUGGAGCUUCGUAGUCACAUUUUUGUACACUUGCUUUACUUCAUGUGUUUGUGGAACAUCUAUGUGUUGACUUUUUGAAAUUUGAAACUAUUUUAUGAACCUGUCAUAACAUAUAUGGAUAUGCAUUUUGGUUGA
Non-coding RNA from Phoenix dactylifera (date palm), 2098 nucleotides. The record is from RefSeq and is a predicted model, not a curated record. NCBI's taxonomy places the organism in Eukaryota, Viridiplantae, Streptophyta, Magnoliopsida, Arecales, Arecaceae.